This 79-nucleotide small nucleolar RNA is filed under the name Amborella trichopoda. Its description in RNAcentral is "Small nucleolar RNA U83". It matches the Rfam family "Small nucleolar RNA U83". Lineage: Eukaryota; Viridiplantae; Streptophyta; Magnoliopsida; Amborellales; Amborellaceae. The record is from Rfam by way of RNAcentral.
AGACAAUGAUGAGGAAAAGUUUUUAAAUGUCUGAAAUCUUUGGUGAUUACAAUCAUACUACUGCCUUCCUUCUGAGGCU